GAUGAACGUUGGCGGCGUGGAUUAGGCAUGCAAGUCGAACGGUAUCAUCCUUUCGGGGGUGAGAGAGUGGCGAACUGGUGAGUAACACGUAGGUUAUCUACCCUCAAGACGGGGACAACCCAGGGAAACUUGGGCUAAUACCGGAUGUGAGCAACUUUUAGUUGUUUGAAAGGUGGCGUAAGCUGUCGCUUGGGGAUGAGCCUGCGUCCUAUUAGUUAGUUGGUGAGGUAACGGCUCACCUAGGCAAUGAUAGGUAGGCGGCCUUAACGGGUGGUCGCCCACACUGGGAUUGAGAUACGGCCCAGACUCCUACGGGAGGCAGCAGUCGAGAAUAGUCUACAAUGGUCGGAAGACUGAUAGUGCGACGCCGCGUGAACGAUGAAUCCCUUCGGGGUGUAAAGUUCUUUUAUAUGUGAGCAGUGCUUCUUAUAUUAACAGUAUGGGGAGAGAGAUAUUAGCAUAUGAAUAAGCAACGGCUAACUCCGUGCCAGCAGCCGCGGU
This 501-nucleotide ribosomal RNA is filed under the name uncultured bacterium. Its description in RNAcentral is "bacterial SSU rRNA". It matches the Rfam family "Bacterial small subunit ribosomal RNA", at positions 28 to 521 of the family's 1533-position model. The record is from RNAcentral.